CAGUCGCCGCGGUAAUACGUAGGGUGCGAGCGUUAAUCGGAAUUACUGGGCGUAAAGCGUGCGCAGGCGGUUAUAUAAGACAGAUGUGAAAUCCCCGGGCUCAACCUGGGAAUGGCAGUGGAUACUGGCAAGCUAGAGUGUGUCAGAGGAUGGUGGAAUUCCCGGUGUAGCAGUGAAAUGCGUAGAGAUGUGGAGGAAUACCGAUGGCGAAGGCAGCCCCCUGGGCCAAUACUGACGCUCAUGCACGAAAGCGUGGGGAGCAAAUAGGAUUAGAUACCCGCGUAGUCCCUGUCUCUUAUAC
This 301-nucleotide ribosomal RNA is filed under the name uncultured bacterium. Its description in RNAcentral is "partial 16S ribosomal RNA". It matches the Rfam family "Bacterial small subunit ribosomal RNA", at positions 509 to 807 of the family's 1533-position model. The record is from RNAcentral.